GGUUAAGCGACUAAGCGUACACGGUGGAUGCCCUGGCAGUCAGAGGCGAUGAAGGACGUGCUAAUCUGCGAAAAGCGUCGGUAAGGUGAUAUGAACCGUUACAGCCGGCGAUGUCCGAAUGGGGAAACCCAGUGCAAUUCGUUGCACUAUCGUUAACUGAAUACAUAGGUUAACGAGGCGAACCGGGGGAACUGAAACAUCUAAGUACCCCGAGGAAAAGAAAUCAACCGAGAUUCCCCCAGUAGCGGCGAGCGAACGGGGAGCAGCCCAGAGUCUGAAUCAGCUUGUGUGUUAGUGGAACGGUCUGGAAAGUCCGACGGUACAGGGUGAUAGUCCCGUACACCAAAAUGCACAGGCUGUGAACUCGAAGAGUAGGGCGGGACACGUGGUAUCCUGUCUGAAUAUGGGGGGACCAUCCUCCAAGGCUAAAUACUCCUGACUGACCGAUAGUGAACCAGUACCGUGAGGGAAAGGCGAAAAGAACCCCGGCGAGGGGAGUGAAAAAGAACCUGAAACCGUGUACGUACAAGCAGUGGGAGCACCUUCGGGUGUGACUGCGUACCUUUUGUAUAAUGGGUCAGCGACUUAUAUUCUGUAGCAAGGUUAACCGUAUAGGGGAGCCGCAGGGAAACCGAGUCUUAACUGGGCGUUAAGUUGCAGGGUAUAGACCCGAAACCCGGUGAUCUAGCCAUGGGCAGGUUGAAGGUUGGGUAACACUAACUGGAGGACCGAACCGACUAAUGUUGAAAAAUUAGCGGAUGACUUGUGGCUGGGGGUGAAAGGCCAAUCAAACCGGGAGAUAGCUGGUUCUCCCCGAAAGCUAUUUAGGUAGCGCCUCGUGAAUUCAUCUUCGGGGGUAGAGCACUGUUUCGGCUAGGGGGUCAUCCCGACUUACCAACCCGAUGCAAACUACGAAUACCGAAGAAUGUUAUCACGGGAGACACACGGCGGGUGCUAACGUCCGUCGUGAAGAGGGAAACAACCCAGACCGCCAGCUAAGGUCCCAAAGUCAUGGUUAAGUGGGAAACGAUGUGGGAAGGCACAGACAGCCAGGAUGUUGGCUUAGAAGCAGCCAUCAUUUAAAGAAAGCGUAAUAGCUCACUGGUCGAGUCGGCCUGCGCGGAAGAUGUAACGGGGCUAAACCAUGCACCGAAGCUGCGGCAGCGACACUAUGUGUUGUUGGGUAGGGGAGCGUUCUGUAAGCCUGCGAAGGUGACCUGUGAGGGUUGCUGGAGGUAUCAGAAGUGCGAAUGCUGACAUAAGUAACGAUAAAGCGGGUGAAAAGCCCGCUCGCCGGAAGACCAAGGGUUCCUGUCCAACGUUAAUCGGGGCAGGGUGAGUCGACCCCUAAGGCGAGGCCGAAAGGCGUAGUCGAUGGGAAACAGGUUAAUAUUCCUGUACUUGGUGUUACUGCGAAGGGGGGACGGAGAAGGCUAUGUUAGCCGGGCGACGGUUGUCCCGGUUUAAGCAUGUAGGCUGGUUAUCCAGGCAAAUCCGGAUAAUCAAGGCUGAGGUGUGAUGACGAGGCACUACGGUGCUGAAGUAACAAAUGCCCUGCUUCCAGGAAAAGCCUCUAAGCAUCAGGUAACAUCAAAUCGUACCCCAAACCGACACAGGUGGUCAGGUAGAGAAUACCAAGGCGCUUGAGAGAACUCGGGUGAAGGAACUAGGCAAAAUGGUGCCGUAACUUCGGGAGAAGGCACGCUGGUGUGUAGGUGAAGUCCCUGCGGAUGGAGCUGAGACCAGUCGAAGAUACCAGCUGGCUGCAACUGUUUAUUAAAAACACAGCACUGUGCAAACACGAAAGUGGACGUAUACGGUGUGACGCCUGCCCGGUGCCGGAAGGUUAAUUGAUGGGGUUAUCCGUAAGGAGAAGCUCUUGAUCGAAGCCCCGGUAAACGGCGGCCGUAACUAUAACGGUCCUAAGGUAGCGAAAUUCCUUGUCGGGUAAGUUCCGACCUGCACGAAUGGCGUAAUGAUGGCCAGGCUGUCUCCACCCGAGACUCAGUGAAAUUGAACUCGCUGUGAAGAUGCAGUGUACCCGCGGCAAGACGGAAAGACCCCGUGAACCUUUACUAUAGCUUGACACUGAACAUUGAGCCUUGAUGUGUAGGAUAGGUGGGAGGCUUUGAAGCGUGGACGCCAGUCU
RNAcentral lists this ribosomal RNA (2149 nucleotides) under Klebsiella pneumoniae. Its description in RNAcentral is "partial 23S ribosomal RNA". It matches the Rfam family "Bacterial large subunit ribosomal RNA", at positions 1 to 2177 of the family's 2925-position model. The record is from RNAcentral. Lineage: Bacteria; Pseudomonadati; Pseudomonadota; Gammaproteobacteria; Enterobacterales; Enterobacteriaceae.